CCUACGGGUGGCAGCAGUGGGGAAUAUUGCACAAUGGGGGAAACCCUGAUGCAGCGACGCCGCGUGAGUGAAGAAGUAUUUCGGUACGUAAAGCUCUAUCAGCAGGGAAGAAAAUGACGGUACCUGACUAAGAAGCCCCGGCUAACUACGGGCCAGCAGCCGCGGUAAUCCGUAGGGGGCAAGCGUUAUCCGGAUUUACUGGGUGUAAAGGGAGCGUAGACGGCAGCGCAAGUAGGGAGUGAAAUCCCAUGGCUUAACCAUGGAACUGCUGUGGACACUGUGCAGCUAGAGUGCAGGAGAGGUAAGCGGAAUUCCUAGGGUAGCGGUGAAAUGCGUAGAUAUUAGGAGGAACACCAGUGGCGAAGGCGGCUUACAGGACUGUAACUGACGUUGAGGCUCGAAAGCGUGGGGAGCAAACAGGAUUAGAUACCCGUGUAGUC
This 440-nucleotide ribosomal RNA is filed under the name uncultured bacterium. RNAcentral's name for it is "partial 16S ribosomal RNA". It matches the Rfam family "Bacterial small subunit ribosomal RNA", at positions 338 to 795 of the family's 1533-position model. The record is from RNAcentral.